UAUAUUUUAUAUUAUUUUAUUGUAUAUUCAGUUUAUUUUAGUUUAAAUUAAAUUUAUUUUUUAUUUGAAAAAUUAUUGAAUUAUUAAGUUAAUUUUGUUUUUAGUACCUUUUGUAUCAGGGUAAAUUAAUUAGUUUCAUUAUUUGAAUUCCCGAAAUUAAAAAAUCUAUUUUAGUUAAUUUUAUUUGUUUCAAAAAGUUUAUUUAAACUAAAUUUGUAAUUAAAAGUUAUUCGAUUUUAAUUUAUAUCUGGUUUCUUUAGACUGAAUAAAAUUCUUAAUUAUUUUAUUUGUUAAUUUUUUAAUUUUAAUUAAAUUUCAUGAAGGAUAAUCUUCUUGUUUUUGUAAAAUUUAAUUUUUUUAAUUUAAAUUAUCUUUUAAAUUUUGAACUUAGUUUUUAUUAAAUUUGUUUUUUUAUUUAUUAUUUUUUAAAAUUUACAUUUUUAUAAAGUAUAUUUAAUUAUUUAAAUUUAUUUUUUAUAAUGAUUUAAUUAGUAGGUCUUUUAUUUAUUUAAAUUGAACUCGUCAAUUCUGUUUUCCAGCUGUUUAACAAAAACAUUUCUUUUAGAAAAAUUUUAAAGGUAUAACCUGCUCUAUGAUUAAUUUUUAAAUGGCUGCAGUAUUUUAACUGUACAAAGGUAGCAUAGUAAUUAGUCUUUUAAUUGAGGGCUUGUAUGAAUGGUUGAAUGAGAUAUCUAUUAUAAUUUUAAUUAACUACUUAAUUUAAUUUUUUAGUAAAAAAUCUAAAAUAUUAGUUUGGGACGAAAAGACCCUAUAGAACUUUAUAUUAUUUUUGGUUUUUAGUUUUAUAAUUAUUUAUUUCUAUUUAUUAUAUUUAAUUGGGGUGAUUAAUAAAUUUAAUCUUUAUUUUUUUUUUUCUUUUUAAAAGAUUUUUUGAUUCAUUUUAUGGUUAAAAGUAAAAGUUACCUUAGGGAUAACAGCGUAAUUUAAGUGGGGAGUUCAUAUUUAUACUUAAGUUUGCGACCUCGAUGUUGAAUUAAGAUUAUUUAUGGGGGUAGAUUUUCAUUAUUUAAGUCUGUUCGACUUUUUAAUUCUUACAUGAUUUGAGUUCAAACCGGUGUGAGCCAGGUUGGUUUCUAUCUUAAUUUAUUACAAUUUUCUUAGUACGAAAGGACCAGAAAAU
This 1141-nucleotide ribosomal RNA is filed under the name Illinigina sp. EMHAU-15062817. Its description in RNAcentral is "16S ribosomal RNA". The stretch from base 931 to 1089 matches the Rfam family "Archaeal large subunit ribosomal RNA", at positions 2544 to 2703 of the family's 2987-position model. Lineage: Eukaryota; Metazoa; Arthropoda; Insecta; Hemiptera; Cicadellidae. The record is from RNAcentral.